This 979-nucleotide ribosomal RNA is filed under the name Aeromonas veronii. Its description in RNAcentral is "bacterial SSU rRNA". It matches the Rfam family "Bacterial small subunit ribosomal RNA", at positions 48 to 1010 of the family's 1533-position model. Lineage: Bacteria; Pseudomonadati; Pseudomonadota; Gammaproteobacteria; Aeromonadales; Aeromonadaceae. The record is from RNAcentral.
CCUACACAUGCAAGUCGAGCGGCAGCGGGAAAGUAGCUUGCUACUUUUGCCGGCGAGCGGCGGACGGGUGAGUAAUGCCUGGGGAUCUGCCCAGUCGAGGGGGAUAACUACUGGAAACGGUAGCUAAUACCGCAUACGCCCUACGGGGGAAAGCAGGGGACCUUCGGGCCUUGCGCGAUUGGAUGAACCCAGGUGGGAUUAGCUAGUUGGUGAGGUAAUGGCUCACCAAGGCGACGAUCCCUAGCUGGUCUGAGAGGAUGAUCAGCCACACUGGAACUGAGACACGGUCCAGACUCCUACGGGAGGCAGCAGUGGGGAAUAUUGCACAAUGGGGGAAACCCUGAUGCAGCCAUGCCGCGUGUGUGAAGAAGGCCUUCGGGUUGUAAAGCACUUUCAGCGAGGAGGAAAGGUUGGUAGCUAAUAACUGCCAGCUGUGACGUUACUCGCAGAAGAAGCACCGGCUAACUCCGUGCCAGCAGCCGCGGUAAUACGGAGGGUGCAAGCGUUAAUCGGAAUUACUGGGCGUAAAGCGCACGCAGGCGGUUGGAUAAGUUAGAUGUGAAAGCCCCGGGCUCAACCUGGGAAUUGCAUUUAAAACUGUCCAGCUAGAGUCUUGUAGAGGGGGGUAGAAUUCCAGGUGUAGCGGUGAAAUGCGUAGAGAUCUGGAGGAAUACCGGUGGCGAAGGCGGCCCCCUGGACAAAGACUGACGCUCAGGUGCGAAAGCGUGGGGAGCAAACAGGAUUAGAUACGCUGGUAGUCCACGCCGUAAACGAUGUCGAUUUGGAGGCUGUGUCCUUGAGACGUGGCUUCCGGAGCUAACGCGUUAAAUCGACCGCCUGGGGAGUACGGCCGCCAGGUUAAAACUCAAAUGAAUUGACGGGGGCCCGCACAAGCGGUGGAGCAUGUGGUUUAAUUCAAUGCAACGCGAAAAAACCUUACCUGGGCCUUGCCAAGGCUUGGAAUCCUGGCUGAGGUGCC